GAUGAACGCUGGCGGCGUGCCUAAUACAUGCAAGUAGAACGCUGAAGGAAGGAGCUUGCUCUUUCCGGAUGAGUUGCGAACGGGUGAGUAACGCGUAGGUAACCUGCCUGGUAGCGGGGGAUAACUAUUGGAAACGAUAGCUAAUACCGCAUAACAGUAGAUGUUGCAUGAUAUCUACUUAAAAGGUGCAAUUGCACCACUACCAGAUGGACCUGCGUUGUAUUAGCUAGUUGGUGAGGUAACGGCUCACCAAGGCGACGAUACAUAGCCGACCUGAGAGGGUGAUCGGCCAAACUGGGACGGAGACACGGCCCAGAAUCCUACGGGAGGCAGAAGGAGGGAAUCUUCGGGAAUGGAAGGAAGUCUGAACGAGCAACGCCGCGGGAGUGAAGAAGGGUGUCGGAUCGUAAAGCUCUGUUGUAAGAGAAGAACGAGUGUGAGAGUGGAAAGUUCACACUGUGACGGUAUCUGACCAGAAAGGGACGGCUAACUACGUG
Molecule: ribosomal RNA, 497 nt
Filed under: uncultured bacterium
Lineage: Bacteria
Description: partial 16S ribosomal RNA
Rfam family: Bacterial small subunit ribosomal RNA
Source: RNAcentral